GAUGAACGCUGGCGGCGUGCCUAAUACAUGCAAGUCGAGCGAACAGACGAGGAGCUUGCUCCUCUGACGUUAGCGGCGGACAGGUGAGUAACACGUGGAUAACCUACCUAUAAGACUGGGAUAACUUCGGGAAACCGGAGCUAAUACCGGAUAAUAUAUUGAACCGCAUGGUUCAAUAGUGAAAGACGGUUUUGCUGUCACUUAUAGAUGGAUCCGCGCCGCAUUAGCUAGUUGGUAAGGUAACGGCUUACCAAGGCAACGAUGCGUAGCCGACCUGAGAGGGUGAUCGGCCACACUGGAACUGAGACACGGUCCAGACUCCUACGGGAGGCAGCAGUAGGGAAUCUUCCGCAAUGGGCGAAAGCCUGACGGAGCAACGCCGCGUAAGUGAUGAAGGUCUUCGGAUCGUAAAACUCUGUUAUUAGGGAAGAACAAAUGUGUAAGUAACUAUGCACGUCUUGACGGUACCUAAUCAGAAAGCCACGGCUAACUACGUG
This 497-nucleotide ribosomal RNA is filed under the name uncultured bacterium. RNAcentral describes it as "partial 16S ribosomal RNA". It matches the Rfam family "Bacterial small subunit ribosomal RNA", at positions 28 to 507 of the family's 1533-position model. The record is from RNAcentral.